Molecule: long non-coding RNA, 1846 nt
Organism: Biomphalaria glabrata
Lineage: Eukaryota; Metazoa; Mollusca; Gastropoda; Planorbidae
Exons: 2
Source: RefSeq, a predicted model, not a curated record
ACGGAAUUCUUGUUACUCAGCCACACAUCUCACAUAUUAUAACAAAAAAGAAAAAUAGAACUUCAAUGAAAAUAAAUUAUUAGAACUUCAAUGAAAAUAAAUUAUGGAAUAUCUUAAAUCAACUGUGCUUACUAAUGGUUUAAACUUAUCCAGAGUUUUCCAAAUCACUGUGUUUUAUGUAACAGUAAUAAUCAAAUAGUUUUAACGAUAUGUUUAGAAGCACUUUAGUAUAUUUGAUACACAUUUUGAUACACAUUUUCAGGUCCCAGAAUUAUGGGCCAGAAACGCUUAUCCUUCGUUAAAGUCUUUAGCAUCUUGGGUUAAAGACCUGAUAAUGAGGUGUUGUUUUAUUGACAAUUGGAUCAAUAAUGGACCUCCUAAGUCUUUUUGGUUGUCUGGCUUCUUCUUUCCACAAGUUUCUUGACUGGAACUCUUCAAAAUUUUGCUAGAAAGUACAACCAGCCUAUUGAUCAUCUCUCAUUCAAGUUCAUUCUCCUGCCAUAUUCUAGAGAAGAAGCACUAGUUAUGGAGCAGCUGCGUACAGUUAAAAAGGGCGAAACAAUACCUAUGGAUCAAAAUGUAAACUCUUAGUUAAAAUCAAAUUAUUUCUCUAAUAAAUCAAUAUUUAUUUUUAAAACAAUGGUUAAAUCAGUUUACGAAAUCAAAAUAUAGAACUUCAAAAUUAAAAACACUAACAAAUGAUCAGACUUGAUAUGGAAAUAUAGGAAGUAUAAAAAGAAUUUCACUUCAUUCAAUGAAAUUAUUUCCCACAGGGGUGCCACCCAUGAGACCAAGUAAACCCUGAAACCCGAAUUUCCAAAUUUUACAAACCCUGAAAUCAUAAACCCCAAACUUUACCAACCCUGAAACGUACCGCGUAUACAAUUUAAGCACCAAAAUUUUACGAAAGAAGAACAGUAUUAAAUUACUACCUAGAUCUAGAUCUAUAUCAUAAUAUGCUCCCCAUGUUUGAAAUAUGUAAUUAGUAAGCCUAUCAUUAUAAUAAAUAGAGUUUGUGUGUAUUUAUUGAUAAAGUUUGUAAUACAAGUUAAGAGGAUUUAGUACAAUUUUAUAUUAACAAUGUUUGUACACCCCCCCCCCCCCCCCAAACACACAGUUAUUUUAAAUGAUGUUUCUCUCUUUUAACAUUUUUCCCCUCAUUAUUCAUUUGAAGCAGCCUACUUUAAUCAACAUUGAUAAAACUGAUUCGAUCAAUGUACAUGCAUGGACCUGUAAAUCUAUUGCAACAAGAUAAAAUUGAUUUUGAGAUUUAGUCCAGAUCUACUCCAAAAUGAACAUUUAGAUUUAGUUUCUAAUAUUUAAAUGUAGACCUAGAUGGCUAGAAUGUGCUGGACUGCUUAUACAUAAUUAUAAUUUAUUUGUAUAAAUCUAUUGACCAAUCGAUCUAUUUUUUCUAGCCUCUAAGUCUUCAGGCGAACGCAAACUUACUAAUUUAAUUCUUCAAUCAUUGAUUCUAGUUCUGAUCUAAAAAAUAUGUAAAUAUCCUAAAUCUAGAUCCUACUUCUAGAAUACUCUAGACCAAUAUAUAUAGCUCUAGACUAGUCUAGACAUAGGCUAAGGCUCUAUGUCUAUAUGGAACAUAUACAAAUAUUAAAAUAUAAAACACAGAAAGAAAAAAAAAAAAAUUCUCACUCGUGAAUUUUUUUUUCUUUCUAUUUCUAGAUCUAGGACUAGCCGCUAGGUACGCGAGUAGAUCUAGACUAUAUCUAUACUAAUUACAAGACUUUACAGUCUAGAUCAGAUCUAGAUUGAUCAUAGAAAUAGAUCUGACUCCAAAUCGAGCCGAUUUGAGGCGCGUUCCGUAGAUCUAAAAAUUCUCUAUAGA